This 253-nucleotide ribosomal RNA is filed under the name uncultured bacterium. RNAcentral's name for it is "partial 16S ribosomal RNA". It matches the Rfam family "Bacterial small subunit ribosomal RNA", at positions 524 to 776 of the family's 1533-position model. The record is from RNAcentral.
UACGGGGGGGGCAAGCGUUGUUCGGAAUUACUGGGCGUAAAGGGCUCGUAGGCGGCCAACUAAGUCAGACGUGAAAUCCCUCGGCUUAACCGGGGAACUGCGUCUGAUACUGGAUGGCUAGAGUUCUGGAGGGGAUAGCGGAAUUCCUGGUGUAGCGGUGAAAUGCGUAGAUAUCAGGAGGAACACCGGUGGCGAAGGCGGCUAUCUGGACAGAAACUGACGCUGAGGCGCGAAAGCUAGGGGAGCAAACAGG